CCGAGUUUACAACUCCCAAACCCCUGUGAACAUACCACUUGUUGCCUCGGCGGAUCAGCCCGCUCCCGGUAAAACGGGACGGCCCGCCGAGGACCCCUAAACUCUGUUUCUAUAUGUAACUUCUGAGUAAAACCAUAAAUAAAUCA
This 146-nucleotide unclassified non-coding RNA is filed under the name soil metagenome. RNAcentral describes it as "partial internal transcribed spacer 1". The record is from RNAcentral.